RNAcentral lists this long non-coding RNA (1212 nucleotides) under Astyanax mexicanus (Mexican tetra). RNAcentral describes it as "lncRNA (ENSAMXG00005005222.1)". Lineage: Eukaryota; Metazoa; Chordata; Actinopteri; Characiformes; Acestrorhamphidae. The record is from RNAcentral.
CAAAGAUUUGUGGGGUUACCAAAAGCCAUAUAGAAUACAUCAGUCACUCUAGAGCAUCCUCUAAAUUGCUCCAAACAUCAUCUGGGCCUCUCAGCUAUGUAUGAGGUAUCCAUCACUGUGGAAAAUGCUUCUAUGAUAUAGCACCUAAGAUAUGUAGCCUACCACAGCUGAAACUUAGGACUUGAAACAUAUCAAAAAGAUCACCUCUUGAUGUGGUUGAUCCUAUUGUAAACUGAUAUUGAUUUCUGACUUUGUGUGUGAUGACGAUGUUGUUUGCUCAGAUCUCUUAAGCUUUUUUACCUUUGUCUUGAGUUGCCCUUCAGAAUUGUGAUGUCUCUGUCUGUAUUGCUUCAGAUGAGGAGGAGCUCCAGGCUCUGCAACAGGCUUACGAUCAGAAGACCAAGGCUAGAAGGGGCCCGCUGAUAAAGACACAGAAGCCUCUUCACAAGCAGAGCCAGCUGAUUGGUUCUCCUUAGGAAGAGAGGAGGAGCCCAAAGGAAGAGCUGGAGGGAGUGAGCUAUGCAUUAGAGAGGAAGCAGCUUUUAAGCCAGUCUCAACGUUACAGCGACAUAGACAAAAGCAUCCGUCAAAAGAAAGAGACCAUUACUACAGAAAGAGGCUACUAAAAAAUUAAACAUCACUGCAGAGAAUGUGCAGCUCCGGCAUGACAUAGAAUCCCUGGUAAUAGAAAAAGAAAAGUUCCUGCAGAGGAGCAGCAAAUUGGAGAAGGCAAUCCAGGAGGCCGAUCUGGAGCUUGGCAGAGAGCUCCAGAAGAUCAGCAAGAGCGAUCUCAUCAGGGAAGAAACUGAAGCACAGAGAGUACGAAAGUUAGAGAAAGCUUGCUCAGACGAGGACACUUGUGCUACAAAGAUACAGAAGCUACAGAGACAGACAGACCAUGGCGACAAAUUAGCGUACUUUCUACAACAGAAGAAUAACCCCAGGCAGCCAAACCUAAAGUACUGCUCUACAGCAGAGAAAAGAGGGGCACACCAGCAAGAGCUACAGCAAGAACAGCUGAAAGAAUAUGAGACUGAUAUGGAGAAGAUCAAUGAUAUUGUUCAAGGCAGGCAGAGAAGAAGCGAGAGAAAGGAGAGUGGUUCUGAAGAUUUUGACUCUUAUGGAGCCAUCUCCAAGUACAUCUUGGAAAUCAGGUGCAUACAUACACAGAGACACUUAGACCCCAUGUACAGACGAUCACUUCUAAGUUAG